Engraulis encrasicolus (European anchovy) is the source of this 1791-nucleotide long non-coding RNA. RefSeq lists it as uncharacterized. The record is from RefSeq and is a predicted model, not a curated record. NCBI's taxonomy places the organism in Eukaryota, Metazoa, Chordata, Actinopteri, Clupeiformes, Engraulidae. The transcript has 5 exons.
GGAUGCCUGUAGCAGUUGACAGCCAAUUUGUUGACAAUUUGCUUCCACGGUGAAAUUGUUCUCUCCUUGUCCUUAUUGGUGUCGCAGAGGAAAAGAAAGUAUUUCAACGGAGUGCAUGGGACGUGAUGCAGCUCAACACAGAUUGUAAUGGAGGACGAUGCUAAGGAGAGGAUGAUGGAACAUGCUGACAGUCACGGUGUGCGGCCUCACCAUGGAAAAUUACAUUGAAAGUGCUGCAGUGAAUGGGCCAUGCUAACCUCCCAGCUCGCCACAGCGAUGUACAGCUAUAUCACAGAGGAACAACUAAGACCAUACUCUUCAGCUGCAUAACUGUGUGGGAAGCUGCUCAAGCUACAAGUGCCUUUGAGGCUCCACUCCCCCCUGCAAGACAUACCCCCUGCUUCAUCUUUAAAGGACUGACGGUUGGCAGUGAUGCAUGCUGCUCAGCCUUCUGCCCUCCGUGUAGAGGCACAGGAACGUGUGCACCAGACUCACCAGCUUCAUCUACUAGACUGUCAGGAUGCUGAAUUGCCACUCCUAGCCACAUCAGCCACUGCUCAACUCCCAAACUUGACCCUGACUCGCCAUACCUGGAAAUGCACAAUAUCAGAAUUCUCCUGCCAGGAUCCUGAAACAGCACAGCUGAAACUGGCAGCACAUCACCCCCGUACCCUGACAGCUAGAGUAGAGUAGAGUAGAGUAGAGUAAAGUAAAGUAAAGUAGAGCACCUUUAUUAAUUCCGUGUUUCCUCUUUUACUCACACACACACACACACACACACACACACACACACACACACACACACACACACACACACACACACACACACACACACACACACACACACACACACACACACACACCUUACAUGAAUCCACAAACACAAAACAUACACUCAGACCUACUACACAUUAUUGCUACACUGUCUCCCCGUCCAAUCUUGCAUCUCCUCCUCACUUUCUAGUCCCUCAAUGAUCUGGCACCUCACAGACAUCCUCCAUCACCCAUCGCUGCGCUCCCCCGCGCUCCCUCGCGCCAGUGUCAAGGCCACCAGUGACUGAGCCUUUUAUGUAGCUGCCCUACUCCUCUGGAAUAACCUACUGAACCACAUUCAAAAUGCCCCUUCAUUGGCCAUCAGUUUAAACAACACCUUAAAUCUCAUCUCUAUUUGGACGCUCUUUGGCUUCUAGUGUCCACAAUCACACACCUUCAUACUUACACACAUGUACAUGUAUACUGAUACACUUACACUAAUAUUAUGUUAAGCAUCCUUUGGUGUUUUGAAAGGUGCUAUAUGAAACGAAAGCAUUAUUAUUAUCAUCAUCAUCAUUCAAGAACUGCAAAGUUUGACUGUAACUGCAUAAAAUAUGACAGACUAUGCACAGGCUCUGUACUCCCCCAAGAAUGUCUGUCCAGCUCACCAUGCACUACAUGACUGGAAAUCAUUACUUGACUUUGGAACUGCAGUGUAUCUUCACUUGGUCAUGGCAUAAUAAAGGCCUGUACAGCGAUAAUUGCACAUGAUCCCCUAUAAGUAAGGUCAUAUUUGAUAUAUCAAUAGUUUAAAUAGCUAAGCAAUAAUAAUGUCUGCUAAGAAUUCUGAACUAUGCACAACAUGUUUUAGGUAUGUUUACUUCAAAGGACCUGCCCAUCACCACUUGGUAUGACGGAUAAUUACAGUACCUCCUUAGAAUGUUAAGUCAAAUGGGGAUACACAGUUGACUUCAUUUUACUCUGAUGCUGAAUGACCAUUUUUGAAUGAAGCUACACAUUAAACUGAGGCCAAAUAUU